RNAcentral lists this ribosomal RNA (492 nucleotides) under uncultured bacterium. RNAcentral's name for it is "partial 16S ribosomal RNA". It matches the Rfam family "Bacterial small subunit ribosomal RNA", at positions 29 to 507 of the family's 1533-position model. The record is from RNAcentral.
AGUGAGCGCUGGCGGUAGGCCUAACACAUGCAAGUCGAACGGCAGCACAGUAAGAGCUUGCUCUUACGGGUGGCGAGUGGCGGACGGGUGAGGAAUACAUCGGAAUCUACUUUUUCGUGGGGGAUAACGUAGGGAAACUUACGCUAAUACCGCAUACGACCUACGGGUGAAAGCAGGGGAUCUUCGGACCUUGCGCGAUUGAAUGAGCCGAUGUCGGAUUAGCUAGUUGGCGGGGUAAAGGCCCACCAAGGCGACGAUCCGUAGCUGGUCUGAGAGGAUGAUCAGCCACACUGGAAUUGAGACACGGUCCAGACUCCUACGGGAGGCAGCAGUGGGGAAUAUUGGACAAUGGGCGCAAGCCUGAUCCAGCCAUACCGCGUGGGUGAAGAAGGCCUUCGGGUUGUAAAGCCCUUUUGUUGGGAAAGAAAAGCAGCAGGUUAAUACCCCGCUGUUCUGACGGUACCCAAAGAAUAAGCACCGGCUAACUUCGUG